AACCGGCUUCGGUCGGGGAUUAGUGGCGAACGGGUGAGUAACACGUGGGUAAUCUGCCCUGCACUCUGGGACAAGCCCUGGAAACGGGGUCUAAUACCGGAUACGACACUCUCGGGCAUCCGAUGGGUGUGGAAAGCUCCGGCGGUGCAGGAUGGGCCCGCGGCCUAUCAGCUUGUUGGUGAGGUAAUGGCUCACCAAGGCGACGACGGGUAGCCGGCCUGAGAGGGCGACCGGCCACACUGGGACUGAGACACGGCCCAGACUCCUACGGGAGGCAGCAGUGGGGAAUAUUGCACAAUGGGCGCAAGCCUGAUGCAGCGACGCCGCGUGAGGGAUGACGGCCUUCGGGUUGUAAACCUCUUUCAGCAGGGAAGAAGCGCAAGUGACGGUACCUGCAGAAGAAGCGCCGGCUAACUACGUGCCAGCAGCCGCGGUAAUACGUAGGGCGCAAGCGUUGUCCGGAAUUAUUGGGCGUAAAGAGCUCGUAGGCGGCUUGUCACGUCGGUUGUGAAAGCCCGGGGCUUAACCCCGGGUCUGCAGUCGAUACGGGCAGGCUAGAGUUCGGUAGGGGAGAUCGGAAUUCCUGGUGUAGCGGUGAAAUGCGCAGAUAUCAGGAGGAACACCGGUGGCGAAGGCGGAUCUCUGGGCCGAUACUGACGCUGAGGAGCGAAAGCGUGGGGAGCGAACAGGAUUAGAUACCCUGGUAGUCCACGCCGUAAACGGUGGGCACUAGGUGUGGGCAACAUUCCACGUUGUCCGUGCCGCAGCUAACGCAUUAAGUGCCCCGCCUGGGGAGUACG
RNAcentral lists this ribosomal RNA (800 nucleotides) under Streptomyces sp. 41540. RNAcentral's name for it is "bacterial SSU rRNA". It matches the Rfam family "Bacterial small subunit ribosomal RNA", at positions 72 to 884 of the family's 1533-position model. The record is from RNAcentral. Lineage: Bacteria; Bacillati; Actinomycetota; Actinomycetes; Kitasatosporales; Streptomycetaceae.